GAUGAAGAACGUAGCGAAAUGCGAUAAGUAGUGUGAAUUGCAGAAUUCAGUGAAUCAUCGAAUCUUUGAACGCACAUUGCGCCCCUUGGUAUCCCGAGGGGCAUGCCUGUUCGAGCGUCAUUUCACCACUCAAGCCUGGCUUGGUGUUGGGCGACGGCCUCUUUGGGGACGCGCCUCGAAACGCUCGGCGGCGUGGCACCGGCUUUAAGCGUAGCAGAAUCUUUCGCUUUGGAAGUCGGGGCCCCGUCUGCCGGAAGACCUGCUCGCAAGGUUGACCUCGGAUCAGGCAGGGAUACCCGCUGAACUUAAGCAUAUCAAUAAGCGGAGGA
RNAcentral lists this unclassified non-coding RNA (329 nucleotides) under soil metagenome. RNAcentral's name for it is "partial contains 5.8S ribosomal RNA, internal transcribed spacer 2, and large subunit ribosomal RNA". The stretch from base 1 to 120 matches the Rfam family "5.8S ribosomal RNA", at positions 35 to 154 of the family's 154-position model. The record is from RNAcentral.